AGAAUCAACGCUGGCGGCGUGCCUAACACAUGCAAGUCGAACGAGAAAGUGGUAGCAAUACCAUGAGUACAGUGGCGCACGGGUGAGUAACACGUGACUAACCUACCCUGGAGUGGGGGAUAAACUGAGGGAAACCUUAGCUAAUACCGCAUAAUACCUACGGGUCAAAGGAGCAAUUCGCUUCAGGAGGGGGUCGCGGCCGAUUAGUUAGUUGGCGGGGUAAUGGCCCACCAAGACAGUGAUCGGUAUCCGGCCUGAGAGGGCGCACGGACACACUGGAACUGAAACACGGUCCAGACUCCUACGGGAGGCAGCAGUGGGAAUUUGCGCAAUGGGGGAAACCCUGACGCAGCAACGCCGCGUGGAGGAUGAAGUCCUUCGGGACGUAAACUCCUUUCGAUCGGGACGAUAAUGACGGUACCGGAAGAAGAAGCCCGGCUAACUCGUGCCAGCAGCCGC
RNAcentral lists this ribosomal RNA (459 nucleotides) under uncultured bacterium. RNAcentral's name for it is "SSU rRNA". It matches the Rfam family "Bacterial small subunit ribosomal RNA", at positions 26 to 518 of the family's 1533-position model. The record is from RNAcentral.